GACGAACGCUGGCGGCGUGGACUUAGCAUGCAAGUCGAACGGUAGGAUACCUUCGGGUAUCUGAGAGUGGCGAACGGGUGAGUAACACGUAGGUGAUCUACCCUCAAGAUUGGGACAACCCAGGGAAACUUGGGCUAAUACCGGAUGAAAGCAGCAGUGAUGUUGUUUGAAAGGUGGCGUAAGCUGCCGUUUGGGGAUGAGCCUGCGCUCUAUUAGUUAGUUGGCGGGGUAAAGGCCCACCAAGGCGAUGAUAGAUAGGCGGCCUUAACGGGUGGUCGCCCACACUGGGAUUGAGAUACGGCCCAGACUCCUACGGGAGGCAGCAGUCGAGAAUAGUCUACAAUGGCCGAAAGGCUGAUAGUGCGACGCCGCGUGAACGAAGAAGCCCUUCGGGGUGUAAAGUUCUUUUAUAUGUGAGCAGUGCUUUCUAUGUGAACAGCAUGGGGAGAGAGAUAUUAGCAUAUGAAUAAGCAACGGCUAACUCCGUG
RNAcentral lists this ribosomal RNA (488 nucleotides) under uncultured bacterium. RNAcentral's name for it is "bacterial SSU rRNA". It matches the Rfam family "Bacterial small subunit ribosomal RNA", at positions 28 to 507 of the family's 1533-position model. The record is from RNAcentral.